CAAAAGGAGAGAAAUAUGAACUUUGGCUCUGUUUAUUAGUUGCUAAAUUUUCAAUAAAAGAUAAAUUACGAAUUUGGACCAAUCGUUUGUAUUUCAAGCUCAUUGUCGCUUCUUUAAAUGAACUGCAUCCUAUGAAAUUUCAAGUUGUUCUGUGCUUUGAUUUGAAAAAUGAAAUAAAAACAACAACAAGGUUGUAGACUUGAUCUCCAAGCAUCAAAGAUUUCAUGAUAGUAGAGUGCAUUGUGAGCUUGCUGAUUUGUAUUAUAGUUCAACUCAUCAGCUACAAACUUAUUUGGUUGGGCAAAAACUGAUUCCAAUCUUGGUUUGGGCAAUGCUUUAAAAUCAUCCAGACAUUUUCCGUUACGCAUGCAUCAAAAGCUUCUCCAACUCAAUUAGGCAAAGAUUUUUCAAUUCAUAAUCGGGAAUUUGCAAAUCUCUGUAAUAAAACAAGAUAAAUACAUUGGCUUCACCAAUUAGUUUAUUGAUACAAACUACUAAAU
RNAcentral lists this long non-coding RNA (500 nucleotides) under Medicago truncatula (barrel medic). Its description in RNAcentral is "lncRNA gene49686". Lineage: Eukaryota; Viridiplantae; Streptophyta; Magnoliopsida; Fabales; Fabaceae. The record is from RNAcentral.